GCCCGUGUAGUUCAACGGAUAGAACAAAAGUUUCCUAAACUUUAGAUCUAGGUUCGAUUCCUAGCAUGGGUA
RNAcentral lists this transfer RNA (72 nucleotides) under Lutibacter sp. Its description in RNAcentral is "tRNA-Arg". It matches the Rfam family "tRNA". From Rfam's summary of the family: Transfer RNA (tRNA) molecules are approximately 80 nucleotides in length. The record is from RNAcentral. Lineage: Bacteria; Pseudomonadati; Bacteroidota; Flavobacteriia; Flavobacteriales; Flavobacteriaceae.